RNAcentral lists this transfer RNA (75 nucleotides) under Tsukamurella sp. TY48. RNAcentral describes it as "tRNA-Lys". It matches the Rfam family "tRNA". Rfam says of the family: Transfer RNA (tRNA) molecules are approximately 80 nucleotides in length. Their secondary structure includes four short double-helical elements and three loops (D, anti-codon, and T loops). The record is from RNAcentral. Lineage: Bacteria; Bacillati; Actinomycetota; Actinomycetes; Mycobacteriales; Tsukamurellaceae.
GCCCCCCUAGCUCAAUUGGCAGAGCAUCCGACUUUUAAUCGGCUGGUUGUGGGUUCGAGUCCCACGGGGGGCACC